GGUAUAUCUCAGGUUGGAAGCAAUGCCUACUGGAUUUGCGAGGCUUGUGUGCUUAUAGAAAUGCACCUUCCAUCUGCUGCUUCUGGUUCUCGACUGAUAAGGACUUACAGCUUGUCCCAGUCUAGGUGCAGCCAUGAAGAAUCCACAAUCCCAAGCUGCAGGUGACAAUGAAAUUGACCAAAGACCCCCCACAUCCGUUAAG
Pygocentrus nattereri (red-bellied piranha) is the source of this 202-nucleotide long non-coding RNA. RefSeq lists it as uncharacterized. The record is from RefSeq and is a predicted model, not a curated record. The transcript has 3 exons. NCBI's taxonomy places the organism in Eukaryota, Metazoa, Chordata, Actinopteri, Characiformes, Serrasalmidae.